RNAcentral lists this long non-coding RNA (600 nucleotides) under Numida meleagris (helmeted guineafowl). Its description in RNAcentral is "lncRNA (ENSNMEG00000000233.1)". The record is from RNAcentral. Lineage: Eukaryota; Metazoa; Chordata; Aves; Galliformes; Numididae.
UGUUACACACAGCUGGGCAGCAGCUUCUUCAGCAUUGUUUCUACCAGCUUUGAUGUUGGAGAUCUUUGUGGGAUAUGAGCUGAAAAAAACCAAAUGGAGAGGUGAAACGGCCACUUGAGCUGGAGAUGCUGCCUGGGAAUGGAACAUCUUUGCCACAGCUGUAUGCUAUCCAAGUGGCCCAGUGACCUCCAGUGUUAUGAUCGAUCAAGCCUGCAACAGAAUGCAGAUCCAGAUCAAAACCCCUCAGUUUUCUUAGCAGAACCAAGCUCAACCACCUCUAAUUUCUAGAACUGUGCAAACAUAUGGUGCAAAGUUGGACAAUGCUAAGUGAAAAUCCAAGAAGCAGAAGUAGAAUUUUGCAUUAAAGACGAAAUCAGCAUUAUGUUUACCGUGUCCUAAUUUCAUUCAUUCAUGAACCUUGCAUCGUACCCGUUGGUAUUUAAGGUCUGAUACCAGUCAUACUGGAGAUGAAGCUACAUCACACAUUUCUGCCUUGCAUCCAGCUUACAGGCUCAUUCAGUUAGUAUGCCUGUCUUUGAUAUGUUUCUGGCAUGCAUGAGAACCGUGGAUAACACCACUUGCAUUAGUGUACCACUGACG